This 253-nucleotide ribosomal RNA is filed under the name uncultured bacterium. Its description in RNAcentral is "partial 16S ribosomal RNA". It matches the Rfam family "Bacterial small subunit ribosomal RNA", at positions 524 to 776 of the family's 1533-position model. The record is from RNAcentral.
UACGAAGGGGGCUAGCGUUGUUCGGAAUUACUGGGCGUAAAGCGCGCGCAGGCGGUCCUUUAAGUCAGGGGUGAAAGCCCAGAGCUCAACUCUGGAACUGCCUUUGAAACUAGAGGACUUGGGUACGGGAGAGGUGAGUGGAAUUCCGAGUGUAGAGGUGAAAUUCGCAGAUAUCAGGAAGAACACCAAUGGCGAAAGCAGCUCUCUGGGACGGUACUGACGCUGAGACGCGAAAGCGUGGGGAGCGAACAGG